RNAcentral lists this ribosomal RNA (301 nucleotides) under uncultured bacterium. RNAcentral's name for it is "partial 16S ribosomal RNA". It matches the Rfam family "Bacterial small subunit ribosomal RNA", at positions 509 to 807 of the family's 1533-position model. The record is from RNAcentral.
CAGUAGCCACGGGAAUGCGGAGGGAGCUAGCGUUGUUCGGAAUUACUGGGCGUAAAGCGCACGUAGGCGGUUAUUCAAGUCAGAGGUGAAAGCCCGGGGCUCAACCCCGGAACUGCCUUUGAAACUAGAUGACUGGAAUCUUGGAGAGGUCAGUGGAAUUCCGAGUGUAGAGGUGAAAUUCGUAGAUAUUCGGAAGAACACCAGUGGCGAAGGCGACUGACUGGACAAGUAUUGACGCUGAGGUGCGAAAGCGUGAGGAGCAAACAGGAUUAGAUACCCCUGUAGUCCCUGUCUCUUAUAC